UACGGAGGGUGCAAGCAUUAAUCGGAUUUAUUGGGCGUAAAGGACGCGUAGGCGGAAGAGAAAGUCAGAUGUGAAAUCCCGGGGCUCAACCUCGGAACGGCAUUUGAAACUUCUUUUCUAGAGGGUAGGCGGAGAAAACGGAAUUCCACAAGUAGCGGUGAAAUGCGUAGAUAUGUGGAAGAACACCGGUGGCGAAGGCGGUUUUCUAGCUUAUUCCUGACGCUGAGGCGUGAAAGCAAGGGGAUCAAACAGG
RNAcentral lists this ribosomal RNA (253 nucleotides) under uncultured bacterium. RNAcentral's name for it is "partial 16S ribosomal RNA". It matches the Rfam family "Bacterial small subunit ribosomal RNA", at positions 524 to 776 of the family's 1533-position model. The record is from RNAcentral.